UGGGGAGCGGCGCCCUGGACACGCAGUCGGCAGGCGCAGGCGGGCGGCACAUGUGCGGUUAGAGCGGCGGGCCCGGGAGCCGCGGGCGGUGUUGCCGCGAUGGAGAACAAGGGUAAAAAGAAGUUCGUGGGGAAGAGUGGAAAAGGGCCUCGUGGAAAAGCGCCGCAUGGGAAAAGGAGAUUUAAAAAAGAUAAUGAUUCAGGUCAACCAAAGAAAGUCUUUAACAAAGGAGAUGAGGAAGAAAAGCCUAAAUUCAUUUCCAAGAAGUUUGUUAAAGGACAGUUAAGACCUGGAAAAGCUGCUGUCAAACAAUUCAAGAAUAAACAGCAACCAGAAAAGUUUGCAAAGAAGAGAAAGUGCCAGGAUGGUGAAGAGGGAGGGUCAGAUUCUAAGAAGCCAAAUUGGAAUGACUUCAAAAAGAAAAGGAGAGAGUUAAAGCAAACCAGACAAAUUAAUGAUAAAAGUAAUUUUGACAUAAUUGUAAAAUCUAAACAAAUAUGGGAAGGCAUGAGAAGGAAGAAAUGCAAUAAGGAGAAACGAGAAAAGCUGAUGAAUGACCUACAGAAGCUUCUUCAUGGGAAAAUUAAAAAGCUGGCGUUUGCGCAUGAUUCAACCCGGGUGAUCCAGUGCUUUAUUCAGUAUGGUAAUGAGAAGCAAAGGCAAGAGACAUUUGAAGAAUUGAAAGAUAGCCUAAUAGAAUUGAGCAAGUCAAAAUAUUCCAGAAACAUUGUGAAGAAGUUUCUUAUGUAUGGGACAAAAGCACAAGUUGCAGAAAUAAUAAAAAGUUUUAAAGGCCAUGUGAAAAAAAUGCUUCGUCAUGCCGAAGCAUCUGCUGUGGUGGAAUAUGCAUAUAAUGACAAAGCCAUUCUGGAGCAGAGAAAUAUGCUGACAGAAGAACUAUAUGGGAACACUUUCCAGGUUUACAAGACACCGGCUACCCCAACACUGGAUAAAGUGCUAGAAGCUCAGCCUGAAAAGAGAGAGGCCAUCUUGGAUGAAAUGAAGCAGAUUCUUACACCAAUGGCACAAAAAGAGGCAGUGAUAAAGCACUCACUGGUACAUAAAGUGUUUUUGGACUUCUUCACUUACGCUCUUCAGAAACAAAGAUCUGAAAUGAUAGAAGCUAUCAGAGAGGCUGUCAUCUACCUGGCACACACUCAUGAUGGAGCCCGAGUAGCAAUGCACUGCUUAUGGCAUGGCACUCCCAAGGACAGAAAAGUCAUUGUAAAAACUAUGAAGACGUACGUUGAAAAAAUAGCAACGGGUGAAUUUUCUCAUCUGGUCUUGCUGGCGGCAUUUGAUUGCAUUGAUGACACUAAACUUGUGAAGCAGUUAAUUAUAUCAGAAAUAAAAGCUUCUUUGCCUGAUAUAAUAAACAACAAAUAUGGAAAGAAGGUCUUGUUGUACUUGCUAAGUCCUAGAGAUCCUGCACAUUUUGUUCCAGAAAUCAUCACACUUCUGCAACAGGGAGAUGGAAAUGCCUAUAGUAAGAAGAAUACUGAACUCCGUCGUCAUGAGCUCCUGGAAGCCAUUUCCUCACCUUUGCUAGAAUAUUUGCAAGAACAUACCCAAGAAAUAGUGAUAGACAAAGCCACUUUUGUCUUGGUUGCUGAUAUUUUAAGAACAGCUCCUGGUGACAUCCAGCCUGCACUAGAUGCAAUUGCUACGUUAGCAGCAGAAGAGCUGGUUCCAGGGGGCUGUGAUGGACAGCUCCACAUUGCAGAACAUCCAGCAGGCCAUCUAGUUUUGAAAUGGUUAAUAGAGCAAGAUGAAAAAAUGAGAGAGAGUGGAAAAGAAGUUUGCUUUGGAAGAACGCUGGUAGAACAUGUUGGUAUUGAGAAUCUGAAGACCUGGGCAGAAGUAAAUCGAGGUGCCAUUAUUCUUUGUUGCCUUCUCCGAAGCACUGAUGAAAACGUGGCAAGCACAGUCAAAAAAGGACUUAUAAAGCUCAUCCCAAAACUGAAGCAGAAUAAAAGUGUAAAAGGAAUAGAAGCCUUGCUGGAGAAACUGACUUCCUAAUGUAAAUGAACCUAAAAUAAUUAUUUACAUCAAUGCAGUCAACUGAGAUUUGGAGAAAGGCUGUGCCAGCAAUUGUGGGGCAUUUGUUUUAAAGCCAUUUUCCUGAGGUGAAAUGCCUGUCCCUUAUGACCAGCCAACACCUCUCACCUCAGUUAGCAGAAGUUGGAGGAUGAGCCACCAUUGUGAGUGCUAGGACAGAAGAGGUGGUAAAGACUGUUUUAUUUUCUGUUCUCAGAAGACAGAAGACCUAUUUCGUUGGUAUUGAUAUAUAUUACUGUGUAACAGUGUAUUUUACAUUACCUUGGAAGUAGGCGCAUGCAGAUGGGUGCAGUUGAGCUGCCUUAGUAGCUCUUGGUUUAAGGUACAGAAGAACCAGCCUUGCUCUUUGCUGCUGACAACAGGAUCUACCAAGAGCAUGCAGUGUUUCACUUUCCCACUGACUCCACCAACUUUUCUUCAAAAGCAAAAAAAAAGUACACAAUGACUGAGUUUUUUUCUGAGUGCUGAGGGAAAAUGUGGGAUCAGCAGAAAAUGCAGAGUGAUUGACUUAGCUGGAAAUAAAGGAGGAAUGUUUGGGGACAGUAUACACAUUGCAGACAGACUGUGACCCAUAACUGAGACUUGUUUUCCUAGUCCUGUCCAUCUCCUGUCUAGUUGGGUUGUAGACUGUCACAAUGGACACAUGGCCAUGCCCACAAAUGCACACCACGUAGUACUUAUGGAGUUACACUAUGUGCUUGCUUUAUUCCUGCAUUAUGUCUAAACAAUUAAAUUGUAAUAAUCUGAUAUUAAAAGUGGGACCUUUUAAUUUCAUACAUCUUUAAGACAGAGUCAUGCAAGAGUUCAUUGCAUUAAUCAAGAUAUAUUUCCUUGUUUCCUGGAAGAAAUCUGUACUGCCCAUUUAACAUUUGGCACUAUCAGGUUCAAGAUCAUUGCCAAAACCCGUCCAUUUUGCUUCAGUGUGUAUCACAUUGCUCAGCUGCUGCAUGAAAACACCAGAGUUCAUUUACCCUUAACCAUAUUAUUUUUCCAUCAGUUUCCUGCAUGGGGUUUAAAACUCUUGCACUGAGUUGCUCCCUUACAUUCACCAUUAUGUAAAUUGCACCUUUUUUUCUCUUUUAGUAAGUUUUUGUUGUUUAAAGACCGUUGUGUGGUUUUGUGUGUCUUGUUUUAAGACCUGUAUUUUUGAGAUGUCAAACCUUUUUAAAGAUGUGUAAAUAGUAAAUACAUUGUGUUAACCAUCUAAUAAAAGAGGAAUAGGUAUUCCUGGAAAUAAUUGCUGUUUAAGAAACACUGAUCUAUCAUAGUGGGUCCUUCACCUUUUCUCUCAUCCCUGCAACUCUAAAGUUCAGCAGUUCAAGUUUUACUUAACAUGAUUAUUUUCCUGUAAAUGUAUACAGAAGGUCUAAGCCAUUUUACAUUGGCAUUAAAGCAGCCAGUAGGAUGUUACACACUGUUCUGUGUGGAGGGAUUGAGGGAAGGGAAAGUCACUGAUGGCUGGAAAACUGGAAAAUUUGUGAGUUAAGCUUAGUUAUCACCAGUAAUUCCUUACAUAUGCCCUACUUAACAUCAUAUACCUUUGUGAUUUUCCUCUUUCAGUAGUCAUAUUAAAGUUUUGUCAAGGGCCAUACUGUCUGAAGUGGACUGAACCAUCUUGUCAUCUGCUGUCAUAGAAGAUGUUUUUAAUUGCUGGAUUCAUACAUGUUUCAAUCAGAAUUUGUCUUAUAAGUACAUUUAUGCUUUACAAAAUGCAAAAAUCCUACUGAUUCUCUGAUUUCCACUGUCCUCCCCACAGCUGGUUCCGCCUGCCAUUCAGGUAUCUUGAAAGUCUGUUCUCUAACUAGAGUGUGUCUACAUGGAUUGCAUCUUUCAUUAGAAUUUAAAACCGAAAAUAAAAUGUACAGAGGAGCAAGCCUACAGGACCUCUGGGUAUACAAGCAUAGACAAGAAGGUGCUAUAAGCACUGAAUUAAGAAUUAAUUAAGUAGCCAAAAAGUUUUUAUCCCUUUGCAAAACAUACAAAUAAGACACUUGUGGGGGGAAAAAAAAUUGAUCCAAAACAGCCAACCAUCACCAUCACCACCACCGAAAAACAAACAACAAAAAGGAAAAAAACAAACCAGGGUUUGUUAUUUUAAUGAUAGACUAAAUUAUAAGCAUCUCUGGGGGAACAGUUUCUGGGGAGAAGAAUAAUAAGUUAAUAUGAGAAUUGGUUCAGUAUGUUGGGGUUGUUUAAGCUUCUGCUCCCAGGCUGUGGUGAGAUGAAAAACAUCACUGCUACAACACUUGCCAUGAGGUCAUCUUUACAGCCUGGCGAUAGCACCAGUUUUCAAGGCAGUCGUUCUUACAGCUGAAAUGCUUUCAGAGGCUGUUUUACAAAUUGAUAGCACCUAUUUUUAUAUGUAGGCAUUUUCAGUUUUUAUGUUUUUUUCCCACUGUUUAUCUAAACAGGUAAAAAUACUUAGAUUUAGAGCAUCUUUUAAAUUGUGCAUCUUUUGAUAGUGGACAGUGAAAAAAAUAGUAUCAAUUAAAGAUGUUUGAGAUUUAUCUGAAUUACUUAUCUUCAAAUGAAUUUAAAUGGUUGAAGUUUUACAUUACUGUAAAUACUCCACCCUUGGUGACAAGACUUCAGGCUUUUGGUAGACUGCCUGAGGAAGAUGCAGCACAGCUGGCUAACAUGGCAGGUAGCAGGCACCAGAUACUGUUAAGGGAAGGGGAAAUCUGGCAGCUUGUAACCUCUGAGCGGCAGCAGUGAACAAUGUUCCAUGCCAGGAGCGGUUCUUCCCACAAGGAGACCCACCCAGCUAUUUUGUCCUGCCCUGAAGAGGCCCGGCAGCGCAGCAGGUGCUGUCACAACCUGCCUGUGAUUUCCUGAAUUUUCCUGAAUGUGCUGAUUUUGGGGGUUUUUUGCUUCUUUGUUGUGUUGUCAUCGUUAUCCCCUCCCCCUCCCCAGGCCCUGCCAAAACUGGUGAAGGAAAAGGUGAAUGUGGCCUGAAGAACAGUUACUAAGUGGUGGCAAAAGACUGGCUUUAAAAUAUGGUAUUUGCUUAUCUGGUUAUUGACUGGUGGCAAAUUAUUUUUCUUAUAAAUUGAGCAUAUCCACUUCUGGAAUUUGAAUGACAGUACAGAGUAAUUUUUUAGAGUAGAACAUAGAACUCUGACAAGUUUUAUUUAUUGAUAAUCUCUAUCUCAGGACUUUUAUAAAGCUUUAAUUUCUCUCAACAUAUUUCCAUUAAAUUAACUAAGUACAUGAAAAACUUCUACCUCUGACCUUUCCCUAUAUUAGUCCUAGAUAAAGGACUGGAUUACAGUCAAAAGGCAUGUAAUUUUUAUACUACCAAAUAAGAAGUUAAUGAAAGGUU
RNA transcript from Serinus canaria (Common canary), 5380 nucleotides. It is a transcript of the gene named pumilio RNA binding family member 3, with no coding region annotated. The record is from RefSeq and is a predicted model, not a curated record. NCBI's taxonomy places the organism in Eukaryota, Metazoa, Chordata, Aves, Passeriformes, Fringillidae. The transcript has 19 exons.